CAAAGUUAUACUUACUUAUAAUUAAUAUUUAUGCUAAUAAAUUUUGGCAUAUAAAGUUUGAUUCUUUCUUUUAAAUUAGUUUUUUAUAUUGAAUUAUAUGAAAUUUAGUAAAUUCUUAUUUUUCAGUAAUAAAUAUUAGUAUAAUAAUUAAAUUUUAUUUAGCAAUUAAAUUAGUUGGGAUUAAAAAUGUGCCAGCAUUCGCGGUUAUACAUUUUCAAUAAAUUAAUAUUAUUAGUAUUAAAAUUUUAUUAAUACUUGAUUUUUAUUAAUUUAAAAUUUAAGUGAAAUUUAUUUUUAAUUUUUAUUCUUUAAUAAAUUUAAUAAAUUCUUACACAAAACUAGGAUUAGAUACCCUAUUAUUAUGAAAUUUAAUUUUAAACUUGAUUAUUAAUAGCUAAGUUCUAUUAAAAUCAAAGAAUUUGGCGGUUACUUAUUUAAUUAGAGGAACCUGUUAUGUAAUUGAUAAACCACAAUAAUUUCUACCUUUAAUUUUAAUUUGUAUACCGCUAUACUAAGAAUGUUUUAAUAAAAUAUCUUCUUUCGCUAUAUUAGCUAAAUAUUAGGUCAAGGUGCAGUUUUAAAAAGGUAAUAAUGGGUUACAUUAAUUGUAAUUAAAUUUUAAUAUUAAUUAAAUAAAUUAAUUUAGAAUAGGAUUUAAAAGUAAUCAUAAUUUAUUAAUUAUAAUGAAUAUAUUUUAAGUGAUGUACAUAUCGCCCGUCGCUCUCAUUUUAAGUUGAGAUAAGUCGUAACAAAGUAAUCUUAUCGGAAGAUAAAGUUAGAAGU
Molecule: non-coding RNA, 783 nt
Filed under: Jacobiasca formosana
Lineage: Eukaryota; Metazoa; Arthropoda; Insecta; Hemiptera; Cicadellidae
Source: RNAcentral